Molecule: ribosomal RNA, 498 nt
Filed under: uncultured bacterium
Lineage: Bacteria
Description: partial 16S ribosomal RNA
Rfam family: Bacterial small subunit ribosomal RNA
Source: RNAcentral
GACGAACGCUGGCGGCGUGCCUAAUACAUGCAAGUCGAGCGGACGGAUGGGAGCUUGCUCCCAGACCGUCAGCGGCGGACGGGUGAGUAACCCGUGGGCAACCUGCCUGUAAGACUGGGAUAACUCCGGGAAACCGGGGCUAAUACCGGAUAACUCUUUCCCUCACAUGAGGGAAAGCUGAAAGAUGGCAUCUCGCUAUCACUUACAGAUGGGCCCGCGGCGCAGUAGCUAGUUGGGGGGGUAACGGCUCACCAAGGCGACGAUGCGUAGACGACCUGAGAGGGUGAUCGGCCACACUGGGAGUGAGACGGGGACCAGACUCCUACGGGAGGCAGCAGUAGGGAAUCUGCCGCAGUGGACGAGAGUCUGACGGAGCAACGCCGCGUGAGUGAUGGAGGUGUUCGGAUCGUAAAACUCUGUUGUCAGGGAAGAACAGGUACCGGAGUAACUGCAGGUACCUUGACGGUACCUGACCAGAAAGCCACGGCUAACUACGUG